CAAACCCAAUGAUCUCUACGUAUCUCUCCCGGCUCUCUCCUUUUCCCUAUUGGCAAUAAAAUGAAUUUCCCUGUUGAUGUGCGUAUCAGAAUAAACAUUCAGGAAAUGCAUUUCUAGUGUCCCGGGAAUUUGAAAUUAAAAUAAAAUAGCAAGUGGAACAUGUUCUUUCUAUAUCGUCAAUAUCUUGGGGAAAAAAUGAUGCAAUGGUUUCAACCAAAUGCCCAAAUGUUACUCCAGUCGCAGAUCGUCAGGGAUGUUUGUUGCACCCUUCCUGUUCUCCUCCUUCUAGAAUGGGGUUUCCAACAAGGGUACGCGUUGCCGAGAGGGGAAUGUGAGCAGGUUCAGCUUUUGAGGUGCCCACAUGAAGGCUUGGUUUGAGCUUUCGGACGGAUCACAUGACUGAAGCCCUCCUAUGAGAUCGUGCGGCGGUUUCCUGCUCACCUCGGUUUGAUUCGUCGUGUCGCGGGCGUUUGGCCGGCGCGGGGUCGCCUUGGAAAGGCGGUCUCCUCUGGCCGGAGCUGAAAACAAAACCAUCAGAGCUGUUAGCUGCUAGCUGUCAGGGCAGCUCGACCUAGCGCUGUCUUCAACAGCGUUCUCUUACACACACUCUGUGGGAGCUACUGACUUUAUAUUUUGUCCCUAUUUUUACCCACAGGUUUCUAAGCAGCUGAAAAUCUACAGAAAAAUAUGUCAUAAAUCAUUGAUAUUUCUAUUAUAAGUCUUAAGUUUACUUCUAGGUCAUUUAAAAGGCAUUUGUGCUAAGUGUCCUUGUACCUAGAGAAACCUUACUCCCUUGUCCUCUUCAAUUGAGAGGUGAUUUGUCAGUUAGCAUUUGGAUUGCCCCUGUAGCCACCAAGACCGAUACUGAGGCCAUGCCAGUCCACUGACUUCUUUGUUGUGUAGAUUCCUUGAGAUGUCUUGUAUUCCUGUAGACAUCUCAGCUACCCCCAUAGUGUAUUGGAAAUUAACAUGGCCAAUCCAUAACUCUCCAUGAUGGUCACUCCCCUCUCACCUUUGCUUUGUCAAUUUCAGACCUAAAAUCUUUUGUUGCUUAAUGGCCCACGAUGUGAAAGUUCCCUCGAGAAUCACGGACCCAUUGCCCCCUGAAGGUGCUUGUGUCUGUGUGUCCGUCCGGGGCCCCGGUCCCUUACGCGUGCCGGAGGUGUCCAACGCCAGCCCCUUCAUCCGCCUGCGGCUCUGCUUGCGCUCCUCGUCACGGAUCUUCCGCUCCGCCCCCUUGUCGCAGAACACCUUCACCUGGCUGACCGCGCGGUGCACCAGCCGGUCGCCAUGACGACCCACGGCAUAGGUGUCCACUUGCAGGUUGAGGGGGAGGCCCCGCACGCCCUUCUGGGGGGAGAAGUCUGUACUCAGACAGUUG
Gadus morhua (Atlantic cod) is the source of this 1381-nucleotide long non-coding RNA. RefSeq lists it as uncharacterized. NCBI's taxonomy places the organism in Eukaryota, Metazoa, Chordata, Actinopteri, Gadiformes, Gadidae. The transcript has 3 exons. The record is from RefSeq and is a predicted model, not a curated record.